GCAGGUUCCAAAGUGAGUCUGCCUCAAUUUGAUUUAGCCGAGGAGAGGUUGUUAGGGCUGUUAAGGGGURUAAAGGGCUGUUAAUGAAAGCGGUAUCAUGCCUUUAGGAUAUGAUUAACCACAGCAUACUUAUGCUGAUGGGAAGCUUCCAACUGGAUUUUAAUUGGUUUUAGUGUUCAGGGUAGAGGCUCUUCUAGGGAAUUCUAAGACAGAACUUCAUGGAAACAAAGUGGAUGUUUAGGGAAUGUCACAGACUAUAGCCCARUAAUGAGGUGCAAAUCAAGGAUGCGAAUGCCUAUAUGACUGGGAUUCAAAGAAUUUGGUGUGCUGGCUGAAUCAUCAGUUUCUCCCACAGUGAUGGCUAUCACAAUGCAGGUUUUCUGAACUAUUACAACACUGCCUCACAACCAAAGCAGAGUCCUCAGCUGGAGCAUACAGCUAGACUAAGGUAGGUAUAAUCAGUACCUGUGUUAGAAGAACUUGAGUAAUGC
RNAcentral lists this long non-coding RNA (491 nucleotides) under Dromaius novaehollandiae (emu). RNAcentral describes it as "lncRNA (ENSDNVG00000004513.1)". Lineage: Eukaryota; Metazoa; Chordata; Aves; Casuariiformes; Dromaiidae. The record is from RNAcentral.